GAACUAAUCCUCACGCUCUGUAUUCCAGCAGGCUAGCUCCAGCUGCACGCAUGACCCCGCCUCCCAUCCUCUUAAUCUCUUUGUCUCACUUUAUUCACAGCAACACACCUUGUGAAGACGAGCAGCCAAGGAUCAGAGCAGCACUUCACAGACCCUCCUCCUCCUCCUCUUCCUCCUCUUCCUCCUCAUUCUUGUUCUCGCACCAGUACUUGGUGUCAGAUGGAGCAGAUAACUUAGUCAUUGGUGUGUUUGUGGAUGGGUCUUCAGCGGUACCAAACCGUGGCAAGCAUCGUCCGUCUGGCUCCCCUCGCCGACGCUUGCGAUUUGUAGAAGUCACACAGUACACUGAUUGCCAAUAAUGAUGAGCUGGCGAAGAGAGGCAGAGGGAGAGAUGAGGUGGUGAUUGCUGCUACUCUUCGAGAGUCGAUAAUGGAGAAUAUAUGUCAUGUGCCAUUAUGUGUCUUACUGUGUGCCCGUAACCCAUAUGCUAAUUAAUGCUGAUUUAUGCCUCAUUAUGUUGAUUUAUAACGGGGCUACAGGAGUGCUGUUGACUGACUGUAGCCGAAAAAGAGUGCUGUCCAUUAAAGGACAUAAUGUUAGUGGUAUUUAUUCUCCCUCUCUGUUUUUCAGGAUGAAGCUUUGUUCUCCUUACAGAGUUUUAUUUUUUUUCUUUGCAGGCUUAUGAUGAUAAAUCUUUAUCAUAAAAGUUUAAAACUGAAUCACUCAAGUACCGUGCCGGUGGUUUUGCACAUUUUGGCCCAUUAACUGCAAAUCAUGUAUACUUAACAUUACUGCUGGCCAUUUUCUAAACCAUAACUUUGAUUUCUACUCUCCAGUCAGCCAUUGGUCUCCCUUUCCUGCUAUGUAAAUUAUAGACUUGGAACUUGCCUACGAAAGGUGAUCCAUCAUGUAGCGAACAUGUAGUGACCCGCACUUCUUUUAAUGGUCAUACUCUGAUUAUUUGUGCGCGGUAAUUUAUUUGAGAGCAUGAGCCAUUUGAAAACUCUUGUCGGAAAUCAAACCCCGGCAAAUGAGGGAGUGAAAUAUGAAAAUGUUGAAAUGUAAAUCUGGUAGCACUGCUGUCAGCUACCUCCACUGGGGCUGGAAACUCUGGGAAUGUUCAAAUUCUGCAAGUACCGGCUUUAAACCAUUGACUGUAUAAACUACAGACAGAGCAUCCGGGUCUGAAAAGUGAAGCCAAUGUGGAAGUUCUUUAAACCUGCGUUCUUUCUAAUUGCCAACAGUGGGCGACUUCAUUGGUUUCAAAAAGAAGUCCAAUUAUAUGUAUGCUUAGGAGAAAAUAACUCUACUUCUAACUCUAUUUCUUA
RNAcentral lists this long non-coding RNA (1328 nucleotides) under Sparus aurata (gilthead seabream). Its description in RNAcentral is "lncRNA (ENSSAUG00010005446.1)". Lineage: Eukaryota; Metazoa; Chordata; Actinopteri; Spariformes; Sparidae. The record is from RNAcentral.